Molecule: long non-coding RNA, 254 nt
Organism: Gigantopelta aegis
Lineage: Eukaryota; Metazoa; Mollusca; Gastropoda; Neomphalida; Peltospiridae
Exons: 3
Source: RefSeq, a predicted model, not a curated record
UACCCUGAUGACGUCCCUUACACCUACCAGAAAUGUCACCUCAACUGUCUGACGUCGUUCAUUAAGAGGAAGUGUGGCUGUGUCAGCAUCUACAUGCCUGGAAAGGACGUAUCAUACUGCACCUUGCUUGAAAACCUGCAAUGUGUGAGACCAAAUGAAGAGUUAUUCUACAGAAACAACGAAAUCAGGACGUGUGACUGCCGCACUCCAUGUCACUCUGCCAGCUACAUGGCCUCGCUCUCUCUCGUCCAGUU